ACACUUCCGAGGAGUCCCACAAUAGGACGAGAUGGCCGUCCAGUGU
This is a non-coding RNA of Schistosoma mattheei, 46 nucleotides long. Lineage: Eukaryota; Metazoa; Platyhelminthes; Trematoda; Strigeidida; Schistosomatidae. The record is from Rfam.